CAGGCCGCCGCGGUAAUACGAAGGGGGCUAGCGUUGCUCGGAAUGACUGGGCGUAAAGGGCGCGUAGGCGGAUUGUUUAGUUAGGCGUGAAAUUCCUGGGCUUAACCUGGGGACUGCGCUUAAUACAGGCAGUCUAGAGUGAGGAAGAGGGUUGUGGAAUUCCCAGUGUAGAGGUGAAAUUCGUAGAUAUUGGGAAGAACACCGGUGGCGAAGGCGGCAACCUGGUCCUUGACUGACGCUGAGGCGCGAAAGCGUGGGGAGCAAACAGGAUUAGAUACCCCAGUAGUCCCUGUCUCUUAUA
This 301-nucleotide ribosomal RNA is filed under the name uncultured bacterium. Its description in RNAcentral is "partial 16S ribosomal RNA". It matches the Rfam family "Bacterial small subunit ribosomal RNA", at positions 508 to 808 of the family's 1533-position model. The record is from RNAcentral.